RNAcentral lists this ribosomal RNA (424 nucleotides) under uncultured bacterium. RNAcentral's name for it is "partial 16S ribosomal RNA". It matches the Rfam family "Bacterial small subunit ribosomal RNA", at positions 360 to 776 of the family's 1533-position model. The record is from RNAcentral.
AAUUUUGGACAAUGUGGGAAACCCUGAUCCAGUCAUCCCGCGUGUUUGAUGAAGGCCUUCGGGUUGUAAAGUACUGUUUGCAGAUAAGAAAAGGUACCCCCUAAUACGGGAUACUGCUGACGGUAUCUCCAGAAUAAUCACCGGCUAACUAUGUGCUAGCAGCCGCGGUAAUACGUAUGGUGCAAGCGUUAAUCGGAAUUACUGGGCGUAAAGCGUGUGUAGGCGGUUCGGAAGGAAAGAUGUGAAAUCCCAGGGCUCAACCUUGGAACUGCAUUUUUAACUGCCGAGCUAGAGUAUGUCAGAGGGGGGUAGAAUUCCACGUGUAGCAGUGAAAUGCGUAGAUAUGUGGAGGAAUACCGAUGGCGAAGGCAGCCCCCUGGGAUAAUACUGACGCUCAGACACGAAAGCGUGGGGAGCAAACAGG